UGUAAUGGCAGGUUGGAAUGUAUACUCUGAAUACAAAGAGCUUCAUUUGAAUUCUGACAUUCACUGAAGUCUUCAAAUUCAUUUUUGAUCUGCAGGUCUCCACAGUCUUGUAAUGGAAAUGUUAAGUCACGUCCUCACCCGGUGAUUGAGCACCUGGUGGGAAAGCAGGGCCAAGCCAGGGGAGCUCAGCUGCAUGCAAUGUGUCUGACUAGAAUGGGUAGAGCCAGGAUCCACCCCUCCCCAGACCUCAUUUAAGGGUUGGCAGCGGAGCUGAGAGCAUCUUAUCUAGUGACUGCUGGGUACACAAGGACCUUAUAGAUCUUCUGAAGACCAGCAUAAAAUUGAGGAUUGUGGAUGUUGUCAUUCUGUCCAGAAAAUACCACCAAAUUACUGAGAAAUUAUCUUAAGUUCUGAAAGGCAUAUUUCAAUGGACCUAUGUAACUCCAAAAUCCUGAAAGAAGAAACUGAAAUGAAGUGUAAUUUGUUUGAUAUUGACUCUUUUGAAGGAAGAUGGACUUACUUGCUUUCCAGACCUCCACCGUUCUCCCUCACAUUUACUUUUUUGUUGUUUUUAGUUGAAAAAUAAUUUAUUUUAUAUAUACUAUAAUGCUACAGUAGAGUAGUUCAACUUUUUCUCUAUUUUGAUCUAACUUCUAAUUUUGGUGGUCUAGAAAGAAAACUUGCAAAUACAACUCUGUCACAUUAGUUUCUAUCUAAUUUGAAAAGUAACCCCUGUCAUCUGUCAGGGUGUUAAACAAUAGAUAUUUAGUUUAGAUUCUGUACUAACGGACAUAGUUUAGUGGGGAAAUAUUGGUGGUAGGUUGGACUAGAUAAUUUUGGAGGUCAUUUACAAUGUUGGCAAUUCUUUGAUUCUGUGAUUCUAAUAUAAUAAUGUUAGUACGUGCUUCUCCUUUGUCUCACCGUUGCAGUGAAACUUUAGAGCCAGGAUACAGAAUACAGAUACAGAUCACCACCAUGCUCAUGGAAGUGGCAGUAAACAUCAAUGCCAAACAAGAUAACAAAAUAUGUAUAAAAUUUCCACUGAAGUCACUGCAUAAAGUUAUGUUUGUAACAUGGCACAUUAAAAAUGAGUUCAUGCAAUUCCUAUCUGUGUUCAUAUCAGAAAUGUUAAAUCAUAUGAAGUCUAUCAUGGUGCAUCAGAAGAAAAACUGAUAAAUAUGUGACUUGUGGAAUAAAGAUAUCUGGGUAUGGAUAAGAUUGAAUGACGUGACUUAUUGA
Long non-coding RNA from Lagopus muta (rock ptarmigan), 1239 nucleotides. RefSeq lists it as uncharacterized. NCBI's taxonomy places the organism in Eukaryota, Metazoa, Chordata, Aves, Galliformes, Phasianidae. The transcript has 3 exons. The record is from RefSeq and is a predicted model, not a curated record.